AUUAUGAGAGUGAAAACUUCACAAAAAGUGAAAAAAUUAGGAUGCCGGUAUACAAUUGUGAAGUACAACCAUACAUGAUAUGAUAUGACAUAAUACAACAUUAGGACGCCAGGAUACUAUUGAUCCCUCAAUUUGUUUUUUUGAGAUCAAUCCAAGUGACUUCACUUUAGCUUGCAUGACCAAUUUUCCGCUGAGACAGCCAUCCCCCGGGUGAGCCCCCUACAAGAAGAGUGUUCAUUGGUUUUGGCUUGAGCUCCGGUCACCAGAGGUGGAGGUAAAAUGUGUGACAGAUCGGAAGCAAUGUUUCAGGCUUGAGCUCUGGGUACCAUAUUAGAAACUAAAUAAAGACAGAAUUUAUCAUAUUCAUCUUAAUCAGCUAGUACAAAGUAAAACUAUAUUUAUAGCUUGUACAAUCUUUACCUAGAAGCUAUUGAACAAUUACAACAGAAUCCUAACUCAGCAUAACAGAAUGCUGAGUUAGCAUAACAGAACACAUGAACAGAAACUCAACUAACUAAAAUGCUGACUUAGCUUUUAUAAUAAUUUACAUAACUGCAAUAGAUUCUAACAGAUAGAACAUCGUACAUGUCUCAGCUUUUAUAUAUUAUAAUAGAUGUUAUGAACAUCUAGUGAAACAUGCACUUAAAGUUUGUUAGUGUAUUUGCAGUUUCUAUGUUAGUCCUCUAAUUUUGGCAAGUUCAGACUCCUACUCAAUCUGCCAUUUGAUUGUGGAAAUUAACUAAUACACAACUUCACUUUUCUUCAAACUAAUUUUGAAGUGUGCAGCACCAAAAAAUAGCAGGUUCUAACACUUGCCAAGGUGCACCACUUUAUGAGUCCUCUGCAUGUCCCUCUUUUGCUUCUUUUUGGGGAAUCAUUGAUUCAGUGACCCUUGGCUGCAACAAGUCCUCAUUGUCAUCACCACUAUUUCCCUUCUCAACCUAAUUUGUUGACACUUUUAGAAGAAUUUUACUCAUUUUGAGCUAUCAUUUGGUUUAUCUGCAUUUGAUGCAUUAAAAUCCUCUUGAUCAUUCAUGUGAUAUGUUGCUAACAUGAUCAACUUCUCUUUCUGGUUCAGAUAAAACCAUGGUUUCAUGAUUCUUGUUAAAUUCUUGGUCAGUAGCGUCAUCCUUGUUCAUCUUUUCAGAUUCUCCUAUGGUAUCUUCAGCAUUAUUGGUUACUUCAGUGACCAUUGGUAGUGGAGAAUCUUCAGAGAUGUCAUCUUUGUCCAAAUUUUCCUUCUCUAAAUGAUCUUUAACCUCUUGCUUUGACUCACUUUGCAAAUAGUUCACUUCUUCUGAGCAAUGAUUCUCCUUGUUCUUUUCACUCAACUUGUCCCUUUCCUCUUCUGGUAUGCAUGAUGAUAGUAGGGUUUCAUUCUCAUUCAAGUCAUUGUGUUUUCCUUCAAAAUCAUUGGCAGAACUCGUGCCUGUUUCAUCAGCGUUGAUAAAUUUUUCUGUGCUAGCCUCCUCUCUCACUGACGCUUGGGAUUUUUCUUCAUUCUCUCUGUGAAUUUCUGAGGAUGAUUCUAGCAUUAAAGAAAUCAAUGGCACCUGCUCAGUUUCACAGCAAAGAUUUAUACUGUAAGUGUAUUGUCUAAUCUACGUUAUAUAUUGUUGGUCAUGCAAGUGGCAUUUUCCUAAUUAGUUUAAAUAAAUGUUGUUUGAUUUUGCUCGUUUUAUUUAUCUACAACAAUGAUAUGUUCGCACUUCAUUUUUUAUGCAAUUCAUUUUCACCCAUUUUUAUACUAACAUCCUACAACCAAUGGUGGUCUUGCUUGGUUUAUAAUGAAAAUAUAAAAAUAUAAAAAUUGAAAAAUAAAAUAAAAUAUAAUUUUAAACAAUAUUGAACAUAACAAAAUUCAAAUCCUUUGACUAAUUUCAGUAUAUUUGAUGAUAAGUGUGGAUUAAAAGCACAUAAUUAUUAUUGCAUAAAUAAUAAAAUAUGAAUUCAUAUUAUUUAAAACAUAUGUACAAUUUUAUUCAUGAAUUACAUGAUCAAAUAAAAGAAUAAAUAUUAAAAAUAAAUAAAAUAACGGGCAAUAAUUAUGAGAGUGAAAACUUCACAAAAAGUGAAAAAAUUAGGAUGCCGGUAUACAAUUGGAAACUCAACUAACUAAAAUGCUGACUUAGCUUUUAUAAUAAUUUACAUAACUGCAAUAGAUUCUAACAGAUAGAACAUCGUACAUGUCUCAGCUUUUAUAUAUUAUAAUAGAUGUUAUGAACAUCUAGUGAAACAUGCACUUAAAGUUUGUUAGUGUAUUUGCAGUUUCUAUGUUAGUCCUCUAAUUUUGGCAAGUUCAGACUCCUACUCAAUCUGCCAUUUGAUUGUGGAAAUUAACUAAUACACAACUUCACUUUUCUUCAAACUAAUUUUGAAGUGUGCAGCACCAAAAAAUAGCAGGUUCUAACACUUGCCAAGGUGCACCACUUUAUGAGUCCUCUGCAUGUCCCUCUUUUGCUUCUUUUUGGGGAAUCAUUGAUUCAGUGACCCUUGGCUGCAACAAGUCCUCAUUGUCAUCACCACUAUUUCCCUUCUCAACCUAAUUUGUUGACACUUUUAGAAGAAUUUUACUCAUUUUGAGCUAUCAUUUGGUUUAUCUGCAUUUGAUGCAUUAAAAUCCUCUUGAUCAUUCAUGUGAUAUGUUGCUAACAUGAUCAACUUCUCUUUCUGGUUCAGAUAAAACCAUGGUUUCAUGAUUCUUGUUAAAUUCUUGGUCAGUAGCGUCAUCCUUGUUCAUCUUUUCAGAUUCUCCUAUGGUAUCUUCAGCAUUAUUGGUUACUUCAGUGACCAUUGGUAGUGGAGAAUCUUCAGAGAUGUCAUCUUUGUCCAAAUUUUCCUUCUCUAAAUGAUCUUUAACCUCUUGCUUUGACUCACUUUGCAAAUAGUUCACUUCUUCUGAGCAAUGAUUCUCCUUGUUCUUUUCACUCAACUUGUCCCUUUCCUCUUCUGGUAUGCAUGAUGAUAGUAGGGUUUCAUUCUCAUUCAAGUCAUUGUGUUUUCCUUCAAAAUCAUUGGCAGAACUCGUGCCUGUUUCAUCAGCGUUGAUAAAUUUUUCUGUGCUAGCCUCCUCUCUCACUGACGCUUGGGAUUUUUCUUCAUUCUCUCUGUGAAUUUCUGAGGAUGAUUCUAGCAUUAAAGAAAUCAAUGGCAC
This 3154-nucleotide long non-coding RNA is filed under the name Lotus japonicus. Its description in RNAcentral is "long non-coding RNA (LJAP_LNC001444)". The record is from RNAcentral. Lineage: Eukaryota; Viridiplantae; Streptophyta; Magnoliopsida; Fabales; Fabaceae.